UCGGGAUAGGAGAGAUAUAUCUUUUAGUUUAAUUGAUAAUGUAUUUAAUAUUGUACUAUUAUUAUACUCUUAUUAAUAUUGUAAUAUUACUAAUCUGGUUUCUUUUAAUUAAAUAUUAGUUACGUUUAAAAGUUCUAAAAUAACGGCAUGAUUUUGAAUGAGCUAGAAAAUAUAUAAAUCACUCAAAAAGCACUAACAAUUAACAUAUAUGUAACAUAUAUGUAAUGAUCCGCUGUGACCAUUUAUUCGCCUAUCUCUACUUCAUUUGUACUAUAUUGGCUACAUUCAGCAGAAAAAGUGUUAUAAAAUUCCAACACGAUUAGUUAAUUCUUUGGCUAAAGAAGCCUAUUAAUAAGAGCUCUUAUUUCUAUUAUUAAGAGCUUUUAUUACCUAGACAAUGAAAGACACAAUAUUGUUAAAAGUUGCAGAGCAAAGCUUAUCGGAGUGCAUAUAAUAGAUCAUAAUGGAUGCUUUAGUUUCGAUGGAAUAUGAUAUAUGCAAAUAGAAAUAAAAUUAUUGUAAUAUUGUAUUGUUCCUUGAUUCUUUUUUUAUUGUUCCUUGAUUUUUAAAUUUAAAUUACAAUAAUUUUAAAAAACAUCUGAUGUAAGAAAUCAUCAACGUUUAAAUUACUAAUAUGAAUUCAAAGAGUAUAAUAAAACAUAUCAAAAUCGUCUAAAUUGCGUUUUAAAUCUCUUAUAAUGGUAAUCGUCCAUCGCCUAGCUUUUCUCCGUUAUCUUUUCGUUUUCUUGAAAUGUCUUCUUUGGCAGUAAAUUUGAUCUUGUUGCAGGAUUCCUGCUGCGACUUUUGGAAAUCUGAGUUUUCUGUUGAAACUAAAAUUACAAUAAAUUUCACUUACAAUUAUAUAUCUAACAUGAAGAAGUUAAAUGUAUAAAAACAAAGAAUGCGUAGUUAGUAAAUGUUAAUGUAAUUAAUGCAUUUUUGAUAAUUUAGGAAUACUAUAUGUAUCAUGUAUUUCAUGUUUUAACAGUAUUCUAUAACCUAAAAAUUUAUUGUAAUUAUUAAUUACAGAGUAGUUCAAUGAGAAAUGAUAUUUCCAAGUUAAAAGAAAACCGAUAAAAUAUCGAGAGUUUAUCUACUUAUGCUGAGAUUAUCGUGAUACAAAGAUGCCGACUAUUGCAAUAAAACGUGACUUACUGUUCAAAGCAUUGGAUAAAACAUAUUGUAAGUUACAUUUUUUAGUGAUAAAGUUCUAAAUUGUAAUAUCAAUAAGGUUGAUUUAGGGAAUAAACUUUAUUUAACGGAAGAAAUCAGUUGCAAUAAAGCGAUUAAUUACAUUAGCAUUGAGUACGUGAUCGCACCUUUUUCAUCAUGCAUGUAGAAUAAUGAUUACGAGAUGACAGUUGCUGCUACCAACUAACAAGGCACCGAGAAAUCUCAAUCGCAGCAGUUGCGGUUGCAAAGUGACAACAUUUAAAAGGUGAAACAAACUCUGCAAUUGUAUUCAGCCUUUCCGUAAUUGACGUACAUUACAAUAUACAUUUAAUCUUGCUACUUAUUUUAAUGAUACAGCAAAAAGAAUGUGUAUAUAAAGUUAAGGAAUUUUAAGUUUGCAUUAAGUUCGAUAAAACGAAAUGCCUCUUGCAACCAGGAAGAGGCUAAAGAGGAAAUUUAAAUAACAGACGAAUAAUCAAUCAUGAUUGUAAGAUGAAAGAUUGAAAAGGCAGAGACGUCCUCGAUUAAUCGCUGAUCAUUUUUAAUUAUCCAUAAUAUCUAUGGCCAUGCCUAUAAUACCGAUGCAUAUUACACGUCAAAUAUUUUGGUAAAAAAACUUGCUCAAGUAUCUAUAUCCCUUUGCUUCACAGUGAUAGCUAAAGAAAAAAAAACGAAUGCUGACCAUAUAGCCUGAUAUAUGGUCAGCAUUCGUUUUUUUUUCUUUUUUAAGCAAAUUAAAGUUUGCAUAGAGGUUCAGAAGAAAUCUUCCUUCCCACGGGUACGACCUUGUCGUGGUGGGAGGGCUCAGUACCCCGAGGGCUUGAAUGCCUGUGGGGGAAGCUAACUGUACCCAUUGCACUUAUUAAGUUUGUUUUUUAUUCCUGCACUGCUACACUAGUGCAAUAAGUAAGAAUGAGAAAAAAGAUAUUUGUCUUAUUCUAACUUAUUGCACCAGUGCAGCAGUGCAGGAAUAAAAAACAAACCUAUUACGUCGUUGAUCGUAAAAUUGUGGUUCGUCGCGCCGUGUUAACGCGGUUCGGGAGUGCCGACCGAUUAAAUUGAAAACGAACCGUAGCCGGCUCGUCAUGUCGCGCGUUUGCUUCGGGAGUGUCGUUCAAGUAAAUGGACUAAAAGGGCUGUCUAAUUAGUUCUACGCGCGAUCGUAGUAUAUUCAGUUAUUCGCGAGUGUCCUGUGCAACAAGAGGAGGAGGAGGCCUGAGAAAGGCAUUGGGCCCCGGCAGAGCAACUUUGGGAAUCAUCGUAGCGACGUUGCUGAAUAUCUCUGCCGCUGCGCAUCGGUCGGUGAGUGAUGAAUAAACUUUUAAAUUUGGGGUAAUAGAUCUGUGACAAAAUUUUACUUCAAAUAUAAUGUAGAAAUGUUUGCUAUAAUGCUGCAAUAAUAAAUAACAUUUAGAUAUCAUAUUUAUUUCAUGGAUCUAUUGCUUUAAAGUGGAUUGACUAAAACAGAUCAGGAUUUAACAUUUAAUCCUGAAUGAAUGAUAUACAUUAACUUAUCAUGCAUAUUUAAUUUAUUAAAUAAUUUUUUUUCGACGCCAUUGCAGUCUCGGCGAGGGUUAGGUAUGUGUUCAACAUCAUCAAAUAUAAAUUACAAGUAUAAUAAAAAAUAUAUAAUGUAUCUUGCACGUAUGCGCACAAUUAGAAACUGCGCGCCGUUUCGUCUUUGAUAAAUUCCGUCAAAUAACUAAAAUAGAAUAAAAUAAAUGCCGAUCAACUAAAUUUAACUAUAAACUUGAAAUGUUUUAAACUCCCUUUUAAAAUUGUAUUUCUUUCUGGGGUAAUAACAGCCGCUAUAAUUAAUCAUACAAAUAGGUAGAAAUAUUAAUAUAUAGAAAUAUGUAAAAAAUAAAUAGGUAUUAAAAAAUAGAUAGAAAACGGAUAAGCAGAAUACUCUAUGUAAAUAGAUAUACGAAAAAAUUAUGUAAAUGCUUUUUUUAAUUUUAUAGAAACAAUCUGUGUAAUUAAAAAUUAUAUAAUUGUUGUUGUUAUGAUGUUAUGUAAUUAAAAAUUAUAUACUAAUGCCCGAUAUAUUACAGGAAAUCAGAACAUGAUAUACGAUAAUACAUCACAAUUUAUUAAAUUAGCAUGUUAAAUUUAUAUACUUUUCACUUUAUAUUUUCUAAAUAUUUUAAUGUUUGUUCUUAAUUUUCUUCUAAUUUUGUUUCUAAAUUUUUAUUCUUUGUUUAUAUCUUUAUUCUUCAAUACCAGAAUAUUUAAUACAAAUGGUGAAUUUUAAUAUUGUUGUAUUUAUUUCGUCGCUUUUAUGUAAUGUGGUGAAAAUAUAUUGUAAAAUGUAUUGUAAAAUAUUUUAUAAUUUGUAAUUUAUUAAUUUUAUUUUUAAUAUUUAAUAUGAGAUAAAUUCUAACUUAUAUAAAUUGUAAUAAAUAUAUUGUAAAAUUAUACUGUAUUCUUUAUGCAUUUGCUGUAAAUUUAUUUUACUAUGUUGUAUUAUUGAAUUAUGUAACAAAAAAUAACAAUAAAAUAAAGAAAACACAUUUAAAGAAAGAGGACCGUCGACUAAGAAUAGACGGGGGUGGUGGUGGAGGUAAAAACGGAUCAACUCUACAGGUUGAUCCGUUUUUACCGAGUAAAAUUUUAAUUAGAAAUUACAUUAAAAACAUAAUCUUUAGUUAAGAAAAUGUGGUCAUUUAUCCUGUAAAAUUUCAUUUGGUAAAAACAGAUCAAAUUUAACCAAAAUAUAUUCAAUCACAAUAAUAUACGGUAAAAACAAAACAAUUAUUUAUAAAAAAAUUUACAUUGCUUUUACUCGCGAUUAUCGACGAACA
Molecule: long non-coding RNA, 3977 nt
Filed under: Monomorium pharaonis (pharaoh ant)
Lineage: Eukaryota; Metazoa; Arthropoda; Insecta; Hymenoptera; Formicidae
Description: uncharacterized LOC118646453
Source: RNAcentral